Molecule: ribosomal RNA, 464 nt
Filed under: uncultured bacterium
Lineage: Bacteria
Description: bacterial SSU rRNA
Rfam family: Bacterial small subunit ribosomal RNA
Source: RNAcentral
GGGCCCGCACAAGCGGUGGAGCAUGUGGUUUAAUUCGACGCAACGCGAAGAACCUUACCCAGGCUCGAACGGUAGAUGACAUCCUACGAAAGUAGGCUCCCGCAAGGGCAUCUAUCGAGGUGCUGCAUGGCUGUCGUCAGCUCGUGUCGUGAGAUGUUGGGUUAAGUCCCGCAACGAGCGCAACCCUUGUCUUCUGUUGCCAUCGGGUUAUGCCGGGCACUCUGAAGAGACUGCCGGUGACAAACCGGAGGAAGGUGGGGAUGACGUCAAGUCAGCAUGGCCUUUAUGUCUGGGGCCACACACGUGCUACAAUGGCCGAUACAAACCGUCGCGAGCCCGCAAGGGGGAGCUAAUCGGAGAAAGUCGGUCUCAGUUCGGAUUGUAGGCUGCAACUCGCCUGCAUGAAGUUGGAAUCGCUAGUAAUCGCGGAUCAGCACGCCGCGGUGAAUACGUUCCCGGGCCUU